UUUCCGUAGGUGAACCUGCGGAAGGAUCAUUAUUGUAUAACCGAGGUGCGAGGGCUGUCGCUGACCCGAAAGGUCGUGCACGCCCGAGUGCCCUCACACACAUCCAACUCACCCCUGUGUGCACCACCGCGUGGGUCCCCCUUUGGCUUGUUCGGAGGGGGGCUUACGUUUUCACACAAACUUUGUAUGCAGUGUAGAAUGUAUUUUUUGUUUUUGCGAUCACGCAAUCAAUACAACUUUCAACAACGGAUCUCUUGGCUCUC
RNAcentral lists this unclassified non-coding RNA (263 nucleotides) under plant metagenome. Its description in RNAcentral is "partial contains small subunit ribosomal RNA, internal transcribed spacer 1, and 5.8S ribosomal RNA". The record is from RNAcentral.